Molecule: ribosomal RNA, 468 nt
Filed under: uncultured bacterium
Lineage: Bacteria
Description: partial 16S ribosomal RNA
Rfam family: Bacterial small subunit ribosomal RNA
Source: RNAcentral
GACGAACGCUGGCGGCGUGCUUAACACACGCAAGUCGAACGGAAAGGCCCUGCAUCUGUGGGGUGCUCGAGUGGCGAACGGGUGAGUAACAAGUGAGUAACCUGCCCCUGACUUUGGGAUAACAUCAGGAAACUGGGGCUAAUACCGGAUAGGAGCUUCUGCUGCACGGUGGGGGUUGGAAAGUUUCGGCGGUUGUGGCUGGACUCGCGGCUUAUCAGCUUGUUGGUGGGGUAGAGGCGUACCAAGGCAUUGACGGGUCGCCGGCCUUGGAGCGUGACCACCCACCUUGCUCCUGCGAGACGCCCCAGACUGCUACGGGGCGCAGCGGUGGGGAGUAUUGCGCAGUGGGCCGGCGCCUGUUGCAGCCACCUCCCGUUCGUGAUGCCGGCCUUCGGGUUGUGAACCGCUUUCGCCUGUGACGAAGCCUGAUUGACGGUAAUGGGUAAAGAAGCACCGGCUAACUACGUG